RNAcentral lists this transfer RNA (85 nucleotides) under Coniochaeta sp. 2T2.1. It matches the Rfam family "tRNA". From Rfam's summary of the family: Transfer RNA (tRNA) molecules are approximately 80 nucleotides in length. Their secondary structure includes four short double-helical elements and three loops (D, anti-codon, and T loops). Lineage: Eukaryota; Fungi; Ascomycota; Sordariomycetes; Coniochaetales; Coniochaetaceae. The record is from Rfam by way of RNAcentral.
GGUCGCUUAGCUCAGUUGGUUAGAGCAUCUGCUUUACAUAUAACAGCACCGCAGAAGGCCGCAGGUUCGAGCCCUGCAGCGAUCA